RNAcentral lists this transfer RNA (70 nucleotides) under Amphinemura longispina. RNAcentral's name for it is "tRNA-Asn". The record is from RNAcentral. Lineage: Eukaryota; Metazoa; Arthropoda; Insecta; Plecoptera; Nemouridae.
UUAAUUGAAGCCAAAAAGCGGCAUAUCACUGUUAAUGAUAUUAUUGAAAUACCUUUAGUUUCCAAUUAAG